RNAcentral lists this ribosomal RNA (248 nucleotides) under uncultured bacterium. RNAcentral describes it as "partial 16S ribosomal RNA". It matches the Rfam family "Bacterial small subunit ribosomal RNA", at positions 524 to 776 of the family's 1533-position model. The record is from RNAcentral.
UACGUAGGGGGCAAGCGUUGUCCGGAAUCAUUGGCGUAAAGCGCGUGUAGGCGGCCUUGUAAGUCCGUUCUGAAAGCCCGGGCUCAACCCGGGAGGCGGAUGGAUACUGCAAGGCUCGAGUACGGAAGAGGCGAGUGGAAUUCCCGGUGUAGCGGUGAAAUGCGCAGAUAUCGGAGGAACACCAAUGGCGAAGGCAGCUCGCUGGGACGUGACUGACGCUGAGGCGCGAAAGCGUGGGAGCGAACAGG